Molecule: transfer RNA, 85 nt
Filed under: Planoprotostelium fungivorum
Lineage: Eukaryota; Evosea; Variosea; Cavosteliida; Cavosteliaceae
Description: tRNA-Ser
Rfam family: tRNA
About the family: Transfer RNA (tRNA) molecules are approximately 80 nucleotides in length. Their secondary structure includes four short double-helical elements and three loops (D, anti-codon, and T loops).
Source: RNAcentral
GCCCAGGUGACAGAGUGGUUAACGUACCGGUUUUGAAAACCGUGGUCUCCUCCGUGGAGCAGGGGUUCAACUCCCCUCCUGGCUG